AGAGAUAUUAGUUGUACUUACUGGAGCUCCUUUGUUUUGCAGAGAUCAUGAUGCAGCCGUCCUUUUGGAUUUCUUUUUAAUAAUGUGUGACCCUUCACCUUUGAUCCCCUGACCUGCAUUACCUUGGUAACCAUUUCAUUUUUUAAUUUAAUUUCAUUUUUAAUUUUGGUGUACAAGCUGUAACAUUUCAUCUCUCAAAGUGUAGCACGCUGAUUUCCUCAGAUAGAGAUACCCCUUUGAGCGAUAAAUUUGCAAAAUGCUGUCUUCAUUUUUUGUAUUAAAAUUCAUUUCAGUUUUAUAAAAUAAAAUGUAAUCUGUGUUUUCAUCCUUUUAAAAUUUAAGUUUAGUGAGUGCAUUCCCCCAUACAGGAUAGUUCCUCUUCUACCAGUGUUUUGCGGAAGCUGAAUUAAGUGACAUUCAUAUGUAAUGCACACCCCCCUUACCCCCACUCCACUGCCACUCCCUGUCAUUCCCCUGCUGUCACCACACAGCCCUGCCAUUGCAGGAUGAUGACUUGUCUUCCCUUCAGAAUAGUAGCAACUUGAAUUUUAGUCUUAGCAGCCAGGUUCUGCACCCUCAGGUUAUAUUUUGUAUUCUCAAAUAUUGUGGGGAGGGAAAGCUUAGAGUUUUAUUUUUAAUUUCAUUUAAGGGCUGGAAGAAUGUAAGCUAUUUUCAUUACCAGUGUUUGCCUUUCCCACCUCCUUUAAUGUUUUAUUUCUUUGAGACCUAAAUUAAGGAAAAGUCACAGUUUUAAUUUGACCAAAAAAUGUGGUUUUGUCUAUGCUGAAAUUUUAUCAGUGAGCUCUGCUGGUCCCUAUAUCAGAUUGAUUUUUGCCAUUUGUUCUUAUUUCAUGUUUGCUUUUCAAAUAAUGUAUUUUUAUUGUACUCUUCUUCUUUUCAGAAAAUUCUUAAAAGCAAAACAAACCAAAACCAAAAGUCAAACUUGAGUUAAUUCUUUGAACUGGCAAAAUACUCCAAGAAAUUGUAUUCUUAAAAAAAAAAAAAAAGCUGCGGACUCUCUUGCAUGGCCCAGUGAAGCACAGAUGAUUUUUUAAGUGUCUCAUUAUUUUAUUCUCUAACAUUUAAUGCUGAUGUUUUAAUUGCACACAGCUGAAGCUGCUAAAUGAGUACUGAAAUAGAUUUAAGUCCUCUCUGAGCUUUGUUGAUACCUAUAAAAGUUUAUAUCAUUCAUUAGAACCACAAAUUAAAAUUAGUUGUGGUGAGCUGUUCAUUGGAGAUUGGAACUCUCACGAACAUUUUAGCUCACAGACUUUGUUUUUGCCUGUUACACCUAUUUACCUGGAAAGCUGCUUUCGCCCUGUUGGGUAUCCUUUCUUUUCACAGAAUUGGAAAAAUAUCAGAGUUGAGGAAUACAAAUAGACAACUCAUCCUAUGAUUGUAAAGCCCCCAUGAUUAUAAGUGUUCCAGUGGUUGAGAGCAGCUUCCUUGCUGAACCUUGAAUUUUAAGGUGAUUUUUUUAUUAUAAUGUGUUCCACUGUUGUGCAGAGAAAUUUUCCAGAUCCAGAAACUUUUUUUUUUUGGCCUUAGGUACGUUGUUUAUUUGUUCUUUUGUUUAUUUGUUCUUCUAGCACCAAAGGGAUGGUGCCUGAAUCACAGUUCAUAGACUCACAGGGCUUUAGGGGACAGUGACUGCUUGUCAGCUCCACUCCUCUUCCUGAGGGAUGAGCUGGCCCAUGGUUCCCUGGGGAGUCACAAGUUCUCUGAUGACAGAGUCAGCUCUCUCUGUGGGCCCCCAUCUACUUGAGAGAGCCAGAUAACUUUAUUUAUAGCCUGUAGUAGGAGAUGAAGAGACAUUAAUAGGUGCAGAAAUAAUUUCUAUUGUCAUGUUUUAUUUUGUGAUUAAAUCAGUUAAAAAUUUUAAGGUUUUCUGAUUAAUACAUUUUAAGAGAACCUAAUUUUUCUAAGAGAGCUAGUACACAAAUACACUUAUUAUUUUCAAUGAACAUUAGUUAUAUGGUUAGUAUUUAGGACUUCUGGUAAGUUGUGAGGCACAUGAAUACUGUUUUUGUAAUCAUGAUUCACUGAGAAAACCCUUGUCUGAGAGUCAGAAAACUUGCUUUGGACUAGCAUCAAGGUCUUUGGACAUGUUACUGGUGUCUUUUGAGGUAGUUACCCCCAAACUAAAAUAUUCGAAGACAAAGAACUUGACACUUUAAUUUGGGAAUGAAUACUGUGAAAUCAGUUGUCUUGAUUGACCACAUAGGAGCUUGUAAAACAUUUCGUUGAUGCUGCUUCCAUUUUAUGUGUAUGUGAAAUGUAGACUGUGUGUCUCCUACUUGCCUUUUAGGGUUGUUGGGAGGAUAAAUGAAACACACACUGGGAACUCAGAAGAAAGGUGCUUUUGAAACUGAACCUCAUCCUAUGGCUGUGCCAAGAGGCAGUGGUAGUGAACCCCGUGGUGAAGGGCCAGGACCAUGGCUCUGGAGCCAGGCUGCCGUGGUUUGAAUCCCACCUUGGCCUCUUGCAAGCGGUCUGACUGCAGCACAUUACCUAACCUCCCUGUGCCUGAGUUUCCUCCUCUUUAACUUGAGGAUGAUAAUAGUAGCACCUACUCAAAGGAUCCUGGUGAGUUUUAGCUGAGCUGAUGUGUGCGGAAUCCUUAGAGCUGCGCUGGCGUGUAGCGAGCGAGGCCACACCUGCACACCAUGGGCAGGACAUAUACCUUGCACAAAAUGACAUUGCAGCCCCCCCAUCCCCCUGCCCACCAUUAGUCUUCUAACAUUGAUUUAGAAACCAUUGAAUGCUUAGAGAGGGGUACUGCAUAGUUGGUGAUAUUUAAGCACCUCUAGAUAGAAGUUCAGUGGGUAAAGUUAAAUUUGGCUUCCUAACCUUUUUGUAAAAAAAUUCAGCUCACUAGGAUCUGCCUGACACUCUGACUGUUCUUUUGUUUUAGCUGUUUUGGGUUAUGGAGGCAUAAGGGGAGAGGUGUGAGGGAGGGAGCUGCCUUUUGCCUAGUUAGCUUUCGUACCUCCACUCUGCUAAGUUGUCUAGCUGGCUUUCAAGGAGUUAGAGGGUUGAACUGUUGAGGGGCUUUUACUUGACCGUAUGAGGCUUUGGACUCCUCUUAAGUAGAUCGAAGGAUGGGACCCACAGUUGUCCCUGCAUGAGAGAGAAUAUAUGUUGCAUUGUUCCCAGUGCUUUCCAUACAUUUUAAUCAUCCAGAUUUAUCCAGGAGGUGAAUGGUGUGUUAACCCAGUUUUGCAUCUGAAAAUGCUGAGGUUUAGGUAGGGUAAAUACACUUUCCUAGGUGCACAUCCCUAGUAGACUGCACAGUUGCAGAACUGGCAUUUAAAUCCAGGUGCUGCUUACCUCCUGAUACUUGCUGCCUUGCAUUCACCUGCAAACCUGGUAGAACCUCUUAACAAGAGACUGUUCUGCUGUUUUCGUUGCAAGGACCUGAACUGCAUAUAUUAGUGUCCCUCAGCCAUUGGACCUUUUAAAUGAACAGCACCUCUAACUUAGUAAGAACUCAUAUGAUGGAGUAGCUGGCUCUAACAAUCUAUUACCACCAUUAUCAGGAAAGUUCCAUUAUAUAUGUGGCACUUGAUCCUGGUUGCACAUCUGGAAUCACUCGUGUAGUGUUUUGUUUAAAAUUUGAAGCACUAGUCCCAUCCGUGACUGAUUGUGGUCUAGCAGAGAACCAUUGAUCAACAGGUUCAGAUAUAUAGAAAGGUUUUUUUUUUUUUUUUGCCUAGUUACAUACAAACAAAAAUUGAUUUUCUGUACACGCACAGAUUUGUGCUUCUAGAAUAUGGACCAGUGCAAUUAGUUCUAUAGUUGGCUACAUUGUAGAUUAAAAUGGAUCUCUAGUUUAAUCAUUUAACCAACACUGAUCAGUACCCUUCCUGAAGGCAAGGUCCCAGCAUCUAUUCCCUAAAUGCAGUCGUGUGUGAGAACCCCGAACGUCCUGAGAGGUGGGCUCUCACUUAGUUACAGGGUGAACCAAGUAGAGGGCCCUGUUUGCUUUCUUCUCCCUUUCACCUGUCUUCUUUCUCUUUUAUGCAUCCAUUUUUCCUUUCUCUUCUCCUUCCCUUCUCCAUAGUUCUGUCCUCCCUCUUUUUCUCUUUCUUACAUUUAUCUGAUUUUGACAGUGUGACAAUCAUCAAGCUGUAAAGUACUUGAACUACUUCAUGUGCACAGCACAUAGUAGGUGUUCAAAUGAACUUUUUCUUAUUUUUCUUAGCAUCUGAUUUUCAAAGGAGUAGGCACUACCCCUCAUUAAGCCUGAACUUUGUUAGAUUUUGUUUGUGAUUGUCUAUCCUAACUUGGUUUAUCUUGUGAAUUUAGAUAGUUUAGUCUCACUGGUUCUGAUAAGUUGAGGAACUCCAGGGUUUAGUCACUGAGUAGUACAGAAGCUUAGGGAAUAGAACAGACUUAGAUUGUUUUAGAGGCUGCUUUUAUCAGGCUUCUAAUGUAUUUGCUUCUAGUAUAUUUUUAAGCCAGAGGAUCUGUGUUUGCCUCGUCAGACCCCCUUUGUUUGGUGAUGAGGAAGCUGCCAUGGAGAGGGAAAGGCCGUUGGACUUGCUGCUGCUACCUCCUCUGGUAGCAUUGUGUGUUGGGACAGAGAGCAGAGCAAACAAUAUGACAGCCUAGAGGUCUGCAGCUGACUGUUUGCCUCCAGAAAUGUUGGAGAAGUAGUCACAGUAAUCCUCCUUCUGCUUCCCCCUUUCACAGGAGAGGUGACCUAAGGGUGGGGCGAUUCUGAGGGGAGUGGCAGGCCUCCCCAGCGUGGAAGUCGGGAGGCUGUGUGUGCGGCCCUGCACCCCAGCAGGUUGGCCCAGGCGCCAGCUGGCUGCCUUAGGAGUUCCUUCUGAUGGCCUUUAGCCCUUCGAGGCUUUUCGGAGGCUGAGAAACGCGCGGUAAAGGUAUGGAAAGGUGUUUUUGUCAUUCUUCAGUGAAAAUCUGCCCUAACCAGAAAGGGAGUUUCUGCCUAGGCAGGAAACCAUUGAAAAAGCUCGUUUGUGUUAGUUGUGGUUAUUGUUUCCCCUGGAAACUGUGGCCGUGGUUACUGUGGUACUGUGUGACAAUCUGAGUGUUUAGACUAGAUUUCCUGUUUUCCACACACAUUUAUAAGUGGGUUCAGAAAUGUGCCUGUGAUGAACAUCACACAUACCUACUACAAAACUUGGAUGGUCAGCUUGGUGUGGUUUUGUGCACCUCUAAGCCCAGUGGCUCAGAAGGCUGAGGCAGGAAGAUUGCAAGUUUAAAGUCAGCCUCAGCAACUUAGGGAGACCCUGAGCACCUAAGUGAGUCCCUUUCUUAAAAUGUAAAGAGGGCUAGGGAUGUGGUGCUGUGUUUAAAUGCCCUGGGUUCAGUCCCCUGUACCCAAAACAAAAACAAACAAACAAAACACAACGGGUUUGACCUCCAGUCCUUUUUUCUCUUUGGUGCUGAUCCUUUUUCUUAUUUCUGCAUUUUUCCAAAGGAGAAACUAUAUGAUCUAACUUUUUGUGAUGGUGAGAGGAGGAUUGGUCUGGAGCGUUGAAGCUCUUGGUCAAGGUGUGGCUCUGGGUUUCCUUUUACCAGCUCUAGUUCACCUUACAUGCCUGGCACAAGUUCUUGUACAUAAUAGACACUCAGCAAACAUUAACUCUCUUUUCAUUUCUCAUUAGCACAGGUAAUUAAGAAUAGGAGCUGAUAGACUCCACAUAUCUGUGCAGAGAUAUAUCUGUAAUUAAAGUUUUAAUUAAAGAGACACCAGACCAGGCAGAUGGUUCUUAUCCUCAUAUCCUGUAAACCAAACAGCCGUGGCUUUUCGAUCUUGCAAACAAGCAAAGCUGAGAAGCUGCUUUCAUGGUGGGGCAUGGUAGUUUUAUUAACUAGCCAUGAUCUAUUUUGGUACUACUCUGUGUGAUGCCUGAUCCAGGGAUAAUCAUUGUAGUUUGAUAUGGAAAGACAAUACAUCAAAGUUAUGUCCCAACUGAAGCUUUCAAGCGUCAUCAAGGGCAUUGCCACAGCCCAGCUGGUGCAUCACAAGGCAUGUGGUUUUGUGCUAGAUCACAAAAGCUGACAAAGUAUUAUUUAGGAUCAUCCGCUAAAUACAGUAUUAAAUUAAAGCACCAUAAUCCUGAUUUUUCAGGUUUUGCCACUGUAUAGCAAUGCAGAAUUGAGUUGUGCCUGUUUGCCUCAUGCUGGUUCUCUUCUAUGUCACAGUGACCUUAUUGGCUAAUCAGGCGCAGAAUUUAAGAAAUAAAACAACUGCAGGGGCUAACUAACAGAAAAGGACUUAUCUCAGAUCUUAUCACUUUUUAGGCCCUUCCAGUGAACCCCAGCCAUUUAUUCUAUUGCAUCCCUGUUGGCAGGAGCCAGAGCAGUGCAGGGAAGUGGGCAGCUCACCUUGACCUCUUGGAUUUUACCCUCUUCUUUACCCGAAGUUUCAUAACCUUUCCUUGUAAUUUUUAAUGCAGCUAGCUGCAUGGUUUUCAGGCCUUCCAUGCAAGAGGCAGUUCUAUAACAGAAUUGCAUGCUGGUUGAUGUAGGUGUGUUUCUACCACCAGCAUCCCAGUUUAUUUUGUUAGGUAGAACCAGUACUGAAGAUGUUGAUUUCUUAUUGCACAAUGGAACAGUUUAGUGUAGAGAUUAGGAGCAUGGUUUCUGCUUUGCUGAACAGUGCUGCUUUCAUAGGAGGUGCAGUUUUUGUGUGAUAGAGUCCACAGUACACUGGGAAGUACACUGGAACUUUCACAUCACAGACCAGUCAUCAAGUGAUAGAACCUAGAAGUGUUUUAACUUACCUUAAUACCAUCUAUAAAUCAAGGUCCAUCUGUCCUAGCUGAAAUGUGUGUGCAUAGGCACAAGGAGAUGGGCCAGAACCAUGAGAUGUGCAUGUGCUUUGAGUGGAGCCUGUGUCUCAUGGGUAGCUGGAAAUGUGUCUACCACCUUCUGUCUCAGGGAAGGAUGUUUUUUGGUUUUAAAAGAGGUCAGUUCAUUGUAAGCUGCUUUGAUUAAAUAGUCUUUUGUUAUUGUAUCCAGAAAAUACCAUAGGAUCUAUGCAGAAAUGUAUUACUGAGUAUUAAGUUGGUAUUUUACAUAUGGAAUUUGAACCUGACCAAUUACAAAGUUUGUUUCUUUUCUAAUGUGGUUCAAGACCUGAACAUGUAACUUUGGAGUAGACAACACAAUUUUAGAUUGUAGGAGGUUUCCUAUGAAGUUAAACUCUUGCUGCAUAGAGAGCAGUAGUUAUGCCGCUUUGCUGUGUAGGAAUCAGACUUCCACAAAGAGGAGAAGCACCAACAAACCCACCUUACUUUUCUUUCUGUAGUGGGUUUAGAAAAAAUGUGCACCCCCACCCCAUGCUGGGGAUUGAACCCAGGCCUUUACCAUGUUGGGCAAAUACUGUGCUACAGAGCUACAUCCAUAGCCCUGGAAAAUCUGUAUUUUACCACAUAAUCGUCACCACUGCAUUAAUGCAGAUUCACUAAUACUCCAUGCAUAUCCUAAUCUUGAACCAGUGACAGUUUAGUAAUAAACGCAUUUUAAGUAAUACUGGCACAGUAUUUUUUUUUCUCUUUUAAAGCUUUAAAUAAUGGUCACGCUCAACUUUUUGCCAAAAAAGAAAAAGAAAUAAAAGGCAUAAAAUCUGCAAUGAUUAUGUGAUGAAAUGCAUAUAUUUUUGCCCUUUCUAGUUGUGUGAUGAUGGGAGUAGAGUGUUCUGCCCACUCCAGAGUGACUUACCACCAAAUAUUUCUUUCUUUCUUUUUUUUUUUUUAAUGGCGGUACUGGGGAUUGAACUCAGGGCCUCACACAGCUAGGCAAGUGCUCUGCCACUGAGAUAUGUCCCAAGCCCUUUUUCAUUUUUUUAAAAAUUUUUAAUUUUAAAUGUUGUUUUAUUAAUACAUUCGAGUUAUUCAUAAUAGUGGGGUUCAUUUUGACGUAUUCACACAUGCAUAUAACAUAAUUUGCUCCAUUUCAAUCCCUAGUAUUUUCCCCUAACCCUCGUCUCCUCCUUCCCCUUGAUUUCCUUCCUCUACUCUGUUGGUCUUUCUUCCAUUAAUUUAUUGUUUUUUUUUAAUUGGUGCAUUAUAGAUAUACAUAAAAGUAGAGUGGAAUUUUUGUGAUGUAUUUAUAAUGCACAUAACAUAUUUGAUCUUUUUUUUUUUUGCUGUUCCUCUCCUUUCCCAUCCCUACUUUUGCCCCUUUAUUCCCCUUUCUUUACUGUUCUGUUUUUAUAUCGCCCACUUCCCCACCCCCCUCUUGUUUUUAAAUUUCUCAUUUCUCCCUAAUUUCUGCAUAUGAGAAAACAUUGAAUCUUGAUUUUUUGAGUCUGUCUUAUUUCACGUAGCAUAAUGUUCUCCAGUUCCAUCCAUUUGUAAGUAAAUGACAUAAUUUCGUUCUUCUUUAUGGCUGAGUAACAUUCCAUUGCGCAUAUACACUACAUUUAAAAUUGUUGAUGGACCUUUAUUUUAUCUAUUUAUUUAUAUAUGGUGCUCAGAAUUGAACCCAGUCCCUCACACAUGCUAGGCAAGUGGUCUACCACUGAGCCACAACCCCAGACCCCUAUACGUCACAUUUUCUUGAUCCAUUUAUCUGUUGUUAGGCACCUGGACUGGGUUCAUUACUUGCUUAAUUUGGAUCAUGGUGCUAAAGACAACACCCAGCCCUUUAAAAAAUUUUUUUUUUAAAAACAGUUUCAAUGAGUUGCCUAUGCUGGCCUCUUAACUGGCCAUCAUCCUGUCUCGGAUUACAGGCAUGUCCAGCCACACCCAGCUUAUUUAUUUGUUCUUUAAAUAGUUAUUGAAUUCCUGGUAAAGGGCAGCAGUAAGCAAAAUUAUGCCAUUCCCCUCGAAAAGUUUAUUUUCUGGUUAGGGGAAAGGGCAAUAAACAAAAAAAGAGUAACAGUAAUUGAGAAUUUGUAUGAACCAGUCAUGUUGGUUAACUCUGUGUCCUCCUCAGAGCACUCUGUGCAGGUGAGUGCUGUUCUGCCCCUUUUGCAGCCUAGGGAGACACUACAGAGAUGUGGACUGGCCUCUGCCCCACCCAGUGGGCUCUGUGCUUUCACAUUCCAGGCUGCUUGACUCUCUAUUAAUAAACACUGCCUGAUCUGCUAAUUUCUAAAUAAUAAACACAUAUUAUUGUUAAUGAAUGUGAUGAAGAGCACACUCAUUAUCAAUAAUAUGUGUUUAUUGAUAAUAAUAAUAAUAAUAUCAAUAAAAGCCGCAAGGGAAGCCAUUUGGAGGGCUCCUGGAUGCCUGGGUGUAAGUGUUCGUUAGCAUCAUGACUUAAGUGGAUUCCCUCAUAAUGGGGGGUGAAGGAAGGUCACAUCAUGAGCCACAUAGCUAUCCAUCCAGAGGGAGGGUAUUCCAAGUCAAGGGAACAGAAAAAGCAAAGGCCCCAAGGUUGAUGUAGCUUUGUCAAAGGUGGAAGAGAAGCCAGGAAGCCAGGUGGGAACUGUCCCUGUCUCUAGGAGGGUGGGGAGGGGAGCAGCCAGGAGCAGCAUCCCUGGGGGCCUUGCAGGUCAGGGUAAGGCCUUUGAUUUUACUGAAGAGAGGGGAAAUGGUCCAAGAAUUUUUGAGCAGAAAAAAACAUGAUAAAAAGGAUCCCUCUGAAUGUAGGGCAGAGUCUAGGGCACGGUCCACAGACAACUGCCCGCUGGCCAGAUUGCUGCCCGCUUCGGUGUAGCCAGCAAGCUAAGAGUGCUGUGUACAUUUGUGAAUGGUUGGGAAAAAAUGAAUAAUAAUAUUUGGUGUCCCAGGAAAAGUAUGUGAAACUCAAAUUUUUGUGUCCAUUUUCAUUUUAGUGUUAUUGGAAUUGAGCCGCCCUUGUUACUUUGUGUAUGUCCAAAGCUGCCUUUGAGCAGCCUUAGCUGAACUGAGUCCUUUUAACAGACCACAUGGCCUGCCUCUGGCCCUUUUCAGAAAAAGUUACUGUUCCCUGUCUUGGGGGGAUGGAGUGGAAACAGAGGAGACCAGAGUAGACAUGGCAGAAGUGAAUGGUGGUCUGAACAGGCAGUAAGAAGUGAACAGAUGCAGGACCUGUUUCACAGCAAAAGCAGAUGUACUUUGUUCACAUGGGAAGAUUCCGGGUGAUGUGUGAGUGCGGCACUGAGUUACUGGAGAGUGCACUUGCCCUUUUGGGGGUUGGGAAGACUGUGGGAGUGACAGGUUGGGGAGGAGGGUGAGCAAGAGGCCAGAGUUGUAUUUUGGAUAUGUUGGCUUUAUGGUGCCAAGUGGAGGUGUUGGGUGUCAGUCACUUGUGAGUCCAACUCUGAGGAGAGGCUGAGGCUCAAAGUAAGUAUUGGAGUGUUUUCACAUAUUGCAGGAAGGCUUCCAAGCUGUGGGAGGGUGGAAAUCCUGUAGGGAGCACACUUGGAGGGCAAGUCCAAACCUGGAACCCUGGGGUGCCCAGCAUUAAGGGUAAGGAAGCAGACAAUGAGAGGGAGCAGCCAGAGAGCGCACUUGAGCAGAUUGGGGUGUCCUGGAAGCACAGUAUGGUUCUCUGUGUCGCAUGCUGCUCAAGGUCAAGCAAGAUGCCAACUAAAGAUUCACCAUGAAUUUGGCAGUGUGGAAGUCACUCGUGGCUCUGAUAAGAGGUGCCUGAGUGACGUGGUGAGACAGGAACCUGAAACCAGCUGGGUUAAUGAAAAUGGGAGGACAGGCAGUAGAGCUGGUGUGUAGGAGACUGUCUCCUAAAGCCUGAUUGCAGGCCAGGAAGGGGCAAGAGUGGGAUUUAACCUGAGAUUAGGAUUUUGCUAGUUGAGGUCAGUGGAGGAAAGGGUGUGAGGGAACUGAGUAGGAGAGUCCAUAUGACAGUGGAGAGUCCAUAUGACAGUGGAUUGUGUAAUUGAUGCCAGGCAAGGAGCAGGAUGCAGGGAGGAGAUGAGGGACAGCAGGAGGUUGUGGGGGUCAGCAGAUUCAAGGAGUUGUUGGAUUUGGGGUGGUCAAGAGUCGUGUGCUUGAAAUUGUCAUCGUGGAGGGUGCAGUUGUGGUUACAUCUAGAUCUAAGGCAGUAUUGUUCAAAAGCAAUGUCAGGGGAGCCAUGUUUAACUUUCCAUGUUCCAAUAGCCGUAUUUUUAAAAAAGUAAGGAGAAAGAAACACGAUAAAUUUUAAUAUUUCAUUAUAUUUAACCGGUUACAUCUCAAAUAUGUGAACAUGUGAACUGUGUACAAAUUAUUGCAAUGUAUCAAUUUUUUUGUAAGUCUUUGCAAUUGGUGUGUAUUUUAUAUUUCUAGCACACCUUACUUUAGACUGGGCACAUUUCAGGUGCUCAGAGGUCACAAGUGGCUCAUGGCUGCCAUAUUGCAGAGCAUAGGUCUUGGGAAUCACUGUGGAGGAAGUACAGUCCAAGGUUAUUGGAGGGUGGGUUUAAGGAACAGAGAAGCCAAGGUUCAUGAAGGAUUAUGUGGAUCUAAGCCACUUGGGAUUCCUUACAGAGUGGGGCCGCAGGGGUUAGGAGGCUGAGUGCUUUAAUCUGCCACCCAUCAAGUGAGUCUCAGCAUCUGUGGGACUAUGAGGGACUGCUCUUGCCUCAUCUUAAGUCCAGAAAUCAUGGGUAUGGGGCAUGCUUUCAGACUCACAAUAAAAUAUCAGAAACAUGGGCUAUAAUAUUGAGAGGAUCUUUUCAAAAUAGCAGCUUCCAGUCAGGGUUCACUCUCAUUCAGAAGGCAUUUCUUUGAGCCACUAAUGAAGAUGUUACCCAUGUGAAGAACUCAUUCCAGCCCAUUUUUUUUUUCCUCAAGAAAAAAAUAUCCGUUAGAUUUUUGUCUUUUAUUUUGACAUAAAUCUUUAGAUGCUGAUCUUUAUUUUGGCAUAAUCCUCAAAUCCCUCAAAUUCUGUUUGUAAUACUUAGCUCAACAAUCUUAAACACGCUUGAAUCCCUGCAGAAGCCGACAUUUAGGAGUUUCAAGGCAGUCCACAUGAUACGCGGACAGCAGCAUGCAGCCUGGCUACCCUCUCUGCUCCUUUUGAUAGGGUACAUGUGGUAAUAUAUUUUAUAUAUACAUGCAUAUCUGUUUGUGUGUGUGUGUGUGUGUGUGUGUGUGUGUAUAAAUAUUGGCUUUGAUCCACAGUGAGUCUUUAAAGAUCAAUAAAAAUGGAUGAUGUCAGGAAGCUGUUUUUGGCCUUAUAGGCCAGGAAAAAGGAAAAUGUUUUGAAGGGGUAGACAGGAACACUUCCACAGCUCAGUUGCUAUCACUACUUUUCAUAUUUAAAGUUAACACAAGCUGCUCGUCUGAAUCCCAAUGGAAAAGGUGAAUGGAUAUUCCAGUUCUGUACCUUUAUCAAAUUCAGAUGUACCUUAGAUUCCUUUCAGUUUGUUUCCUGUAGUAUUAGGAUUAACAGCAGCAACAACAAAAAUCCUCCCAGCUCAGAUAUUUAGGAAGAAGAACCCAUUUUGAAUCUGUGUUUAUGUGCCCCCUGUUCUCAGAUGCUAUGUGUGUUGAAGGAGCAGUUGUUCAUUUUGUAGGUGCCAGUGUCAGGGAAUGAGGGAUCCAAGUGGUCCCAAGCACCUAGGCUUUGGUAAUCUCAGAGCAGUGUGAGAGUCUGCUGGGUCAGAACUGUCUUCCCUCUGGGUGUGGUGCCUCCUCUCUGCACUGUAGUGUUCCCUGAGAGCAAGCCCAGGAAACGCCACUUAGUAACGAGGAAAGCUUUCUCCUUAUGUGAGUUUUCUAAUUAAAAUGUUUUCCAUCUGAUGGGGAAGUGUGUGAAUAUCAAGAACUGGAAAUUAAGCAAGAAAUUAAAAGAACAUUAAUGGUUUCUUUGCAAUUUGUUUUGAGGUUUUCCUCACUAAGUGGUAUUUUGCUUACAAAGUCACCCUUUCACACAUAAAUCUUUAUGACAAAUGGACUGGAAUAUAUCCCAGCAAAAGAAGAGCUAUGGUGUCAUGUGUAAAUUAUAUCACACAUUGUGAAAGAGAACCCAAAGCAUUCACUUUUUAAAAAAGCAUUGUUAGUGCAGUUACUUAAUUGGUGUAUACAAAAUUAUAGUUUAUUUGAAAGUGAAGGUUGGUUUGUCUAGAGGACUGGAAGAAUAAGUGUUCUGACAUUUGUUCAUUGUUUGAAUUUACACUCCAGACACCAGAAUGCUCAAUAAAUCCAAAGUGUGAUUUACUGACUCUUUAAAAAGUUCACUGCUGAAACUUUAUCCAUCGCAACCAGUGUCCCUUCACCCCGAGGUAUGUUUGAUCUGCAGUAGGCAGGCACCUGCCCUUCCUGGUCCUUGGGCCUCAGGGAGUGCAUCGAAUGCCACACUGGCAGUUUUGUUUGUUUUGUUAUCUGGAUUUGUGUCUACUAGUAAAGUCUUCAUUAAGCUGCAGCUUCUACCUCUGGGUGGAGAAGUAGGUGGAAACAGGGAACUGUCAAACUCUGUAGCCCUUCCCGGCCUACCUCAAAGUGCCCCCACCCACAGCCUCUCACCUGCCUCUUCUCUCUCCUAGACCUCAGGGUACUGCAUGUUCUGUCUGCUGUGCUUUCAGUUUCCUUCUCUGGCCCAGCCCUUCCUCCCUACUUCCGUUUAUUCUGGUGGACAGCCUUUAGGGGCCAGCCCAGAUGCCACUUCUUCAUGCACCCUUUCUUGGGCUCCAUUCUGCAUAGUCCAUCCUUUGGUUCAUUCUUCUCCUUCCCAUAUCCCCUGUGAGGACUGUCGCCAUGAAAAUGUCAUGAUCUCUUUAUUGGUGUCUUUAAUCUACUAAAUCAGGAGCUCUUUGGGAGCAGGUGCUGGGCCUCCCUUAGAUUUCUGUUUCCCUAGAACCCAGCCCAGCACCUGCACAUGGUUGUGAGUGAAUGAAUUCGGGUGGAUGGGUGGGGGAGUGAUGGUGGGGUAAUGUACCUUCAAGUCAAAAAGGUAAACUUGAUUCCUGUUUUGGAGAAAGAGAAGAAUAAAUACUGUUUUUGUUUAUACAGGUCUUAAAAUUUUGGUAGCAGAGAGCAAAUGUGCAGAGAGCAAUGGAAAACAAGUCAGAAGCUGCUGUCUGAUUCCAGAGAAGGUCACAUUUUAUGCAAAAAGAAAAAAAGUAAUUUACAUUUGAUCACCUUGAGAUCUUCAAUUUGUCAUUGUGAUAUCUUAAGUAACUAAUGAUUAAGUGAAAUAAAUCUUGGGAAAAUAGAUCACAAAUGGAAUGAGGACUUUGCAUUGUAAGAAACCCACAACUCUUUUCUUUUCACAACAUGACCUUUUUAAAAAGUACCUUAUUGCAGGCUUGUGAAGGUGGCUGGCCUCUGAGCACUGGGCACAUGCCUGAAAGUGAUAGGCCUUUUUUAUUUACCUUGAUCCGCUGGAAUUAAACAGUCAUGCUUAUAUUCAGUUAGUUUGAGGUUUGGUUGGAAUUCAGUUCCAAAUUGGCGAAAGAAAUGAGCAUCCAGCCCCUCUUCCUCAUAUUGUCCAACUUGCCUUAUGAGACUCAUAUGCACAGUAUUCCCUGUUUAAACUGAAGUCACUCACUUGACUCUGUCCCUGCAGUAGUCCCUAAGGAAGGUAAACGAACAGAUAUCUUGAGACUUCCUUCUGCAUCAGUAGUUUUGAUAGUUUCAAGGCCACUGUGGAAUUCACCUGUAGUCUGUUAGGACCUUACCUUACUUAGGAACAUUAGUCCUUUUACUCACACACCCUCCAGUAUCCCUUUGGAAUGCUGUGUUUUUCUAACCCAUGAAACUGGUCUAGAAAGUACAGUAGCAAGUGCUGAGAAUUGAAGUCCACCUUCCUAGUGCUGUGCUUCACAAAUAGUCUCUAGCUGGGGGCCUCUCAGAGCAUGGUGUUCUGUUAUAUCAAUAUGUACUUAGACAUGCUAAUCUGAAUUAGAGAGCCGAUAUACAUAAUGACUCCCCUGGGAUGCUAUAUUAGAAAAAAAACAAAACAAAAACUGAAGUAGUUUGCUGAAUAUGCAUAGGAAGCUAAAAAAUAAAAUCCUUCUAAAAUGAGCGUUAAUUGAAUCUGGACCUUGAUCAUCUUUGAACCUCUAAUUUUUAAUUUGAUCCUUUAAAAAAGUUUUAUAGGUUCUUGAAGACAAAAUCUACAACUCAAUAAAAGUUAUGCUGUAGUGAUUGCCUAAAGACUGUACAAAGCCCAAUUUUGAGGUAUUGUUGCUCCAUGUAUACACAGCAUGUGUGGGGUAGAUGUAUAUAUAUGUACAUGUUCAUGCAUACACAUACCAACUAUAUGUGCUUAAUCUAUGCUGUAGUUUGCCUUUAUUCAGAUUCCCUCUAGAAAUGGGGCAAAUUUUCUUCAGUUAAAAACAGAAAUAGAAGCGCCGGCCUUGACCCAUUUUAUACCUGUUUAUUUCAGGCUCUCACCACACACUUGUUCAUGGGCACAGCAAGAAGAGGGAUCCACAGAGCUGGAGCCGUGAGGUCUGACACAUUGGGGUGAAGCUGGCAAAAUUCGUAGGGAGAGCUUUACCAUCCUGCCAGCUCCAUAUCUGGCCUCAAGACAGUUCUAUUAGUGAAUUAAUUGUACUCAAAACCUCGAAUUCAUUUGAACCGAAUGUUACUAAAAAUGAAAUAGAUCAAAGUGACCUCCUCUUGCCUCAUCCAGAGUGAUUGUGAAGGAGCCCAUGGCCUCAUUUAUCUCUGGAGAGCAGGUCUCCACCUGUGUGCCUCCUGGUCCUGGGGUUUUUCGUGCCCGUCCCUGAUGCUACUCUGCCCGCAGUCCCUCAGCAGGCUUCCAUUUCUUACUGGCACUUCACUCCCCUGGAAUCUCUUUAUGUUGAUUACUGUUUGUCUCCCACAAGAAUGGAAGCUCCAUGAGAGCAGGGUCUCUGUCUUGUUCCAUGUCCCAGUGCAUAGGACAGUGCCUGGCACAGUAGAGUUUCAAUAAACGCUAUUGAAUGAA
Molecule: long non-coding RNA, 15780 nt
Filed under: Marmota monax (woodchuck)
Lineage: Eukaryota; Metazoa; Chordata; Mammalia; Rodentia; Sciuridae
Source: RNAcentral